Molecule: ribosomal RNA, 921 nt
Filed under: Triticum aestivum (bread wheat)
Lineage: Eukaryota; Viridiplantae; Streptophyta; Magnoliopsida; Poales; Poaceae
Description: partial small subunit ribosomal RNA
Source: RNAcentral
AUGGGCCCUGAUCUGCGGGAGGAGGAGAAGACGGAGUCCUGUGUCAAGAACGGCGAAUCACAAGCGUGUGGAACUGAGCGUGACGACGUCUAUCUAGAGGACAUGUUCGCAGAUCAUUGUGCCGUCAGCCGCCACUAUGAAUCUGAAUAUGACAUCUUUGGUGCCCGCCCGCUCACGGGCGAUCCACUUCUGUGGGAUGACAUCCGCUCAGAGAACAGCGACGAUUAUGUUGUGCAGGAGGAUUAUGAAUGCGCUAAGCUUGCAGGCGUGGAGACAAAUUGCCCAGGGAGAAACAUCCCGUUGCAGCUAGCGAGGAAAAUCGACAAGGCAUGGAUAAGGAGCAUCGUGGAACAGAACGAGAAAUACGACGCGCGGUGCCGGGAGAUUCUGCGCCAGGACGAGGGUGCUGAUCUCCCUCCUGCUCCUUUAGAUGUGUUCCCUGAGGCAACAGGUUUAUGCGUCCAAAGGGGUCGCUGCCACCACAUUGAAUACAGGACCCAUGAUACUUCCACCACUGAUUCAGAUCUUGGAUACGCCGAACCAGAAAUGAUGCUACAGAUAUUCUUUUUGCGCUUAUCAAGCUUCUCUGUGUCCUAUUCCUGCCCCAUCAGUAUAUAUGGAGUGUUCGCUGUUCGGGAUGUGGUGGAGCCACUGCGGAACCAUGUCUUCAACCGUUCCAGAGAUGACCCUGUCACGGUUGACCAGGAUCCGUUUACCUUGCCACUCUGUAGCCCUUGUCGAGGAAUGUACAUACCAUAUGACCUAGUAUUGCUAGAAGUUGAUCUUUGGAUAAAAAAGGAAGGGGAUGGGUCAGCCGACCAAAAAUUACUUUCCGCAUACCUUGAGCUGGAUGUCUGCACAGAACAGGAGAUGGGUUCAUAUAUGGUUUUAUCCCUGGGGACAAUGUCAGCUUGGAAAUAG